GUGCUCGCUUCAGCAGCACAUAUACUAAAACUGGAACGAUACAGAGAAGAUUAGCAUGGCCCUUGCGCAAUGAUGACACGCAAUUCUGACCUCUCAACUCUA
Cervus hanglu yarkandensis (Yarkand deer) is the source of this 102-nucleotide small nuclear RNA. Lineage: Eukaryota; Metazoa; Chordata; Mammalia; Artiodactyla; Cervidae. The record is from Ensembl.